UACGGGGGGGGCAAGCGUUGUUCGGAAUUAUUGGGCGUAAAGCGCGUGUAGGCGGCUUUGCAAGUCGGGUGUGAAAGCCCUCGGCUCAACCGAGGAAGAGCGCCCGAAACUGCAGAGCUUGAGUGCCGGAGAGGGUGGCGGAAUUCCCCAAGUAGAGGUGAAAUUCGUAGAUAUGGGGAGGAACACCGGUGGCGAAGGCGGCCACCUGGACGGUGACUGACGCUGAGACGCGAAAGCGUGGGGAGCAAACAGG
RNAcentral lists this ribosomal RNA (253 nucleotides) under uncultured bacterium. RNAcentral's name for it is "partial 16S ribosomal RNA". It matches the Rfam family "Bacterial small subunit ribosomal RNA", at positions 524 to 776 of the family's 1533-position model. The record is from RNAcentral.